CACGUAGGGGGCAAGCGUUGUCCGGAUUUAUUGGGCGUAAAGAGCUCGUAGGCGGCUCAGUAAGUCGGGUGUGAAACCCCCGGGCUCAACCCGGGGUCGCCAUCCGAUACUGCUGUGGCUUGAGUCCGGUAGGGGAGCGUGGAAUUCCUGGUGUAGCGGUGAAAUGCGCAGAUAUCAGGAGGAACACCAGCGGCGAAGGCGGCGCUCUGGGCCGGAACUGACGCUGAGGAGCGAAAGCGUGGGGAGCGAACAGG
RNAcentral lists this ribosomal RNA (254 nucleotides) under uncultured bacterium. Its description in RNAcentral is "partial 16S ribosomal RNA". It matches the Rfam family "Bacterial small subunit ribosomal RNA", at positions 524 to 776 of the family's 1533-position model. The record is from RNAcentral.